Molecule: long non-coding RNA, 1216 nt
Organism: Balaenoptera ricei (Rice's whale)
Lineage: Eukaryota; Metazoa; Chordata; Mammalia; Artiodactyla; Balaenopteridae
Exons: 3
Source: RefSeq, a predicted model, not a curated record
GGCCGGGCUCCGUGCGUCCGGAAGGUCCCGGCGGGUUGCCCGGCCCCGAGACGAGGCCCCAGCACUUCCCCGCCCCCACCCCGCGUGCCCUUUUCUCCCCCGGGUUCCCGCUCGGUUGCAGCGCCCACAUCAAAACCGGGAACACGUCUGCUUUGUGACGGGCUUGGAGUCACCCCUGCAGAUCCCUGCUCGCUCUGGGUGGGGGAGAGCAGAUGAUCGGGCUUGGAAUCCCGCCUCAGUCCUUACAUGACUCCGUGAAGCUGCGGUGAGCCUCAGUUUUCUCUCCUGUAGAGCGGAGACGCCUGUCCCUUCUCGGGCAGGGCGGGGGCCAGAUGGAAGCUAGAAAACUUGGGUCACAAGCUUGUGGUGUGGAGCUCACUGGUUGGGGCACCAGGACAGGACUAAGUUGCAGGUGACAAACUUGAGGAAAGAGAAUGCACAGCCACCAGUUUCUCAAGGUCCAGAUCAUGCGAAGUCAGCCUUGGGAGACGCCGUUUCUGCUUCCAUUCUCCGCUCCAGCUGGUGGGAGUGCUGAACGCCUGGCAGAUAGUUCUGCAGAAGACAAAGCAAGCUGGGUGCCAAUCCACUGCCCCAGCCCAGGUGUGGGCCGGGGCUGCCCAGUCUUAUCGGGAAGUAAGUCGGGGUGGAAACUCAGGGACCUAGUGCUCUACAGGCUCAAAUACAGAGAUGGUGUUCUGAAUAUAUGAUUUACAUCUUAUCUAUUUCAUUUCAUUUUUGAAACAGCCCCGAUGAGGUGUGUGUUACUUUUAGUUUUCCAGAUGAAAAAAAUGCAGUUCAAAAAAAUUGUCUACCUAAGGUCACCCAGCUAGUCAUUUCCUGCAACAUGAUAGACCCUCAGAUACGUGUUGAAUGAGGGAAAGCCAGGAUGGAGAUACUUGAUUUGGUCUGAAUCCUAAGCCCACACCUGUCACACCGCAGCACACUGCCGAGUGAGGUGCAGUCUGGGAAAGUGCUGGACCUUUUUUUCAGUCUCUCCCCUUUUUUCUAGUAACUUUCUCUCAAUUGCCAACUCACCUAAGGCUCCAAGUUCCCGCAGAAUUGAAGAGAAAACUCCUCUUACACUGUAAAAUUCCAGCCUCUCAGCUGUGUUCAGGGAUAGACUCCUAAUAAUGAACACACAUUUUCUGAUAGUUUCUAUUUUUUCGCCAGCUUUCCUAAGAUAUGAUUGACAAAUAAAAAUUGUAUAUAUUUAGUA